AUCCUUUCGUCAUGUUACAGAUUUCGCAGAUGUUACUUGAGAGUGAGAGAGUGAGAGAGAGAGAGAGAGAGAGAGAGAGAUGGAGCAAACGGUAGCAAGUCCUCAUGUGCUUCUCUUUCCCUUCCCGGGACAGGGCAACAUGAACUCGAUGCUCAACUUAGCAGAGUUCCUCUGCAACGCCGGUCUUCACAUCACCUUCCUCAACUCCAAUCACAACCAGCAACGCCUUCUCCGCUUCACAAAUGCCCAAGAACGCUUCAGUCGCUGGCCUAAAUUCCGAUUCCAAACCAUCCCUGAUGGUCUUCCAGCCGAUCACCCUCGUUCCGCUGCCACCUUCUUCGAAAUCUUAGACUCCAUGAAAGCUACUGCAAAGCCACUUUUCCGUGAGAUGAUGAUCAUGGCUUCUCGGAAGGAAUCGGGACUUUGGCCACCCUUGAGCUGCUUUAUAAUAGAUGGGCUCAUGCCUUUCGCCAUUGAUGUUGCAGAAGAGCUUAGUAUUCGUGUAAUUGUUUAUCGCGCCAUCAGUGCUUGCUGCUUGUGGACUUUCUUCUGUCUUCCUGGACUCUUUGCAGCAGCUGAGCUUCCCUUUCAAGGAGGAGAUGUUGAAGAUGACAUGGACGUGACCAUAAAGAAUGUGCCUGGAAUGCAAGGAUUUCUCCGUCGCCGAGAUCUUCCUAGUUUCUUCCAAACAAAAGACCCAACUGACCCAAUCUUUCAACAGAUUGGUGUCGAGUGUCAAAAGAUGACUCAAGCAUAUGGUCUCAUAAUCAACACCUUUGAAGACCUGGAAAGCCCAGUACUCACUCAAUUCCGUUCUCAAGUCCCUAAUCUUUACACAGUUGGUCCCCUCCAUGCCCUUACAUUGCGAAGACAACAUUCUAGCUCCUCAAUGACUUCCAAUAUUGCUGUUUCAAACAGCCUAUGGGAUGAGGAUAGAAGUUGCAUAACAUGGCUUGAUUCUCAGCCACCAAAAUCUGUGGUAUACAUGAGUUUUGGAAGCUUAGUGGUUUAUGAUAAAGACACACUAAUGGAGUUCUGGCAUGGGUUGGUCAAUAGUGGGAAACUCUUCUUGUGGGUUGUACGGCAAGAUUCUAUUAAUAUAAGUGGUGGUGAGGGUACAUCUUUUCUAGCAGAAGUGGUGGAUGGGGCAAAGGAAAGGGGUUCUUUGGUGGUGGGAUGGGCACCGCAGGAGGAAGUCCUAAGCCACCCAGCUCUGGGUGUGUUUUUGACCCACAGUGGGUGGAAUUCGACAAUGGAGGGCAUCUAUGCUGGUGUGCCAAUGAUAUGUUGGCCGUUUUUUGCAGACCAGCAGAUCAAUAGCAGGUUUGUGAGUGAGGUCUGGAAGGUGGGUGUGGCCUUAGACAAAUGUGAUAGAUGGACCAUAGAGAGAGUGGUGAAGGACGUGAUGGAACAAAAGAGGGAGGUGCUGGUAGAGUCGAUAGAUGGAUUGGCAAAGCUAGCAAGGAGGUGCAUUAGUGAAGGUGGCUCCUCUCGUUCUAACUUGGAUAGGCUGAUCCAAGAUCUAAGGUCGGUCCGUGAAUCUGUGUAUGACACUUCAACAUCUACCUUAGUGGGGUAGUGGAUUCAGCCCUUCACCUUCUCGUCUUCUCCAAUUCUGUCGUUUAAUGUAGACAAUGGUCAGAUACUGAUGAUGAUGAAGAAGAGGUGGAGUAGGAAGAGGGUGUGUUGGGAGCUUGGCUUGAUGACAAGGACAAAGAUGCAUCAACCUUUUACAAUACGGAAGAAGAAGAAGAAGAGGAGUGGAGAGGAGAGGAAUAACAGUUGAGUUGUUUUAGAUUUGACUCUGCUUCUGAAGUAUUGGUGGAAGGGGAAGAGGAAGAGACGCUAAGGCCAAGCAAGAGAUCUUGUCUUCGUUACAAUGAUGAUGAAGCAGCUGGUCCUUCUCUUAGCCUGACUUUAACACCAAUGGAAGUGGAUUCAAAUAAUGGUUAAUUUGCUUCUUUUGAUGUUGUUUAACAUGCUUAAGUGGUUGUGUUUAUUCUGGAAUCAGUUUAUUAUGUGAAAAUAGUUUUAUAAUGAAGUUUAAAUGUAUGGGAAUGUACUAACUCCUUCAUGUGCUUCCUUGUCAAGUGGAUGUUUUCCAUCCAAUUUUAGAUUGAAUUGUCUAUUGGAAGAUAGGUUCCUCUGUUCUUGUCCA
Macadamia integrifolia is the source of this 2158-nucleotide RNA transcript. It is a transcript of the gene named 7-deoxyloganetic acid glucosyltransferase-like, with no coding region annotated. The record is from RefSeq and is a predicted model, not a curated record. The transcript is spliced from 4 exons. Lineage: Eukaryota; Viridiplantae; Streptophyta; Magnoliopsida; Proteales; Proteaceae.